GACGAACGCUGGCGGCGUGCUUAACACAUGCAAGUCGAACGGAAAGGCCCUGCUUUUGUGGGGUGCUCGAGUGGCGAACGGGUGAGUAACACGUGAGUAACCUGCCCUUGACUUUGGGAUAACUUCAGGAAACUGGGGCUAAUACCGGAUAGGAGCUCCUGCCGCAUGGUGGGGGUUGGAAAGUUUCGGCGGUUGGGGAUGGACUCGCGGCUUAUCAGCUUGUUGGUGGGGUAGUGGCUUACCAAGGCUUUGACGGGUAGCCGGCCUGAGAGGGUGACCGGCCACAUUGGGACUGAGAUACGGCCCAGACUCCUACGGGAGGCAGCAGUGGGGAAUAUUGCACAGUGGGCGGAAGCCUGAUGCAGCAACGCCGCGUGCGGGAUGACGGCCUUCGGGUUGUAAACCGCUUUCGCCUGUGACGAAGCGUGAGUGACGGUAAUGGGUAAAGAAGCACCGGCUAACUACGUG
RNAcentral lists this ribosomal RNA (468 nucleotides) under uncultured bacterium. Its description in RNAcentral is "partial 16S ribosomal RNA". It matches the Rfam family "Bacterial small subunit ribosomal RNA", at positions 28 to 507 of the family's 1533-position model. The record is from RNAcentral.